CAGCGUUCACGAGACAAAGUCUCGUGAGCCAACUAGAACCCCUGGUUCUGGUGACGACGACUAACUGGUAUUCCCCAUGCGUGGGAAGUCUCGCCGUUUACGGCGAGGAGGAUGUCACGUCUCCGUAC
RNAcentral lists this small RNA (128 nucleotides) under Haladaptatus litoreus. Its description in RNAcentral is "HgcC family RNA". The record is from RNAcentral. Lineage: Archaea; Methanobacteriati; Methanobacteriota; Halobacteria; Halobacteriales; Haladaptataceae.